This 893-nucleotide ribosomal RNA is filed under the name uncultured Enhydrobacter sp. RNAcentral's name for it is "bacterial SSU rRNA". It matches the Rfam family "Bacterial small subunit ribosomal RNA", at positions 55 to 946 of the family's 1533-position model. Lineage: Bacteria; Pseudomonadati; Pseudomonadota; Alphaproteobacteria; Hyphomicrobiales. The record is from RNAcentral.
AUGCAAGUCGAACGAUGACUCUCUAGCUUGCUAGAGAAGAUUAGUGGCGGACGGGUGAGUAACAUUUAGGAAUCUGCCUAGUAGUGGGGGAUAGCUCGGGGAAACUCGAAUUAAUACCGCAUACGACCUACGGGUGAAAGGGGGCGCAAGCUCUUGCUAUUAGAUGAGCCUAAAUCAGAUUAGCUAGUUGGUGGGGUAAAGGCCCACCAAGGCGACGAUCUGUAACUGGUCUGAGAGGAUGAUCAGUCACACCGGAACUGAGACACGGUCCGGACUCCUACGGGAGGCAGCAGUGGGGAAUAUUGGACAAUGGGGGCAACCCCGAUCCAGCCAUGCCGCGUGUGUGAAGAAGGCCUUUUGGUUGUAAAGCACUUUAAGCAGGGAGGAGAGGCUAAUGGUUAAUACCCAUUAGAUUAGACGUUACCUGCAGAAUAAGCACCGGCUAACUCUGUGCCAGCAGCCGCGGUAAUACAGAGGGUGCGAGCGUUAAUCGGAAUUACUGGGCGUAAAGCGAGUGUAGGUGGCUCAUUAAGUCACAUGUGAAAUCCCCGGGCUUAACCUGGGAACUGCAUGUGAUACUGGUGGUGCUAGAAUAUGUGAGAGGGAAGUAGAAUUCCAGGUGUAGCGGUGAAAUGCGUAGAGAUCUGGAGGAAUACCGAUGGCGAAGGCAGCUUCCUGGCAUAAUAUUGACACUGAGAUUCGAAAGCGUGGGUAGCAAACAGGAUUAGAUACCCUGGUAGUCCACGCCGUAAACGAUGUCUACUAGCCGUUGGGGUCCUUGAGACUUUAGUGGCGCAGUUAACGCGAUAAGUAGACCGCCUGGGGAGUACGGCCGCAAGGUUAAAACUCAAAUGAAUUGACGGGGGCCCGCACAAGCGGUGGAGCAUGUGGUU